Molecule: transfer RNA, 78 nt
Filed under: Candidatus Heimdallarchaeum aukensis
Lineage: Archaea; Promethearchaeati; Candidatus Heimdallarchaeota; Candidatus Heimdallarchaeia (ex Rinke et al. 2021) (nom. nud.); Candidatus Heimdallarchaeales; Candidatus Heimdallarchaeaceae
Also listed under: 1 other name
Description: tRNA-Arg
Rfam family: tRNA
About the family: Transfer RNA (tRNA) molecules are approximately 80 nucleotides in length. Their secondary structure includes four short double-helical elements and three loops (D, anti-codon, and T loops). Further hydrogen bonds mediate the characteristic L-shaped molecular structure. tRNAs have two regions of fundamental functional importance: the anti-codon, which is responsible for specific mRNA codon recognition, and the 3' end, to which the tRNAs corresponding amino acid is attached (by aminoacyl-tRNA synthetases). tRNAs cope with the degeneracy of the genetic code in two manners: having more than one tRNA (with a specific anti-codon) for a particular amino acid; and 'wobble' base-pairing, i.e. permitting non-standard base-pairing at the 3rd anti-codon position.
Source: RNAcentral
GGGCCAGUAGUCUAGCAUGGAUAAGGCACCUGCCUUCGGAGCAGGGUAUCGCAGGUUCAAAUCCUGCCUGGCCCGCCA